UCCAGACUCCUACGGGAGGCAGCAGUGGGGAAUAUUGCACAAUGGGGGAAACCCUGAUGCAGCGACGCCGCGUGAGCGAUGAAGUAUUUCGGUAUGUAAAGCUCUAUCAGCAGGGAAGAAAAUGACGGUACCUGACUAAGAAGCCCCGGCUAACUACGUGCCAGCAGCCGCGGUAAUACAUAGGGGGCAAGCGUUAUCCGGAUUUACUGGGUGUAAAGGGAGCGUAGACGGUCCUGCAAGCCAGAUGUGAAAGCCCGGGGCUCAACCCCGGGACUGCAUUUGGAACUGUAAGGCUAGAGUGCCGGAGAGGCAGGCGGAAUUCCUAGUGUAGCGGUGAAAUGCGUAGAUAUUAGGAGGAACACCAGUGGCGAAGGUGGCCUGCCGGACGAUGACUGACGUUGAGGCUCGAAAGCGUGGGGAGCAAACAGGAUUAGAUACCCCUGUAU
RNAcentral lists this ribosomal RNA (446 nucleotides) under uncultured bacterium. RNAcentral describes it as "bacterial SSU rRNA". It matches the Rfam family "Bacterial small subunit ribosomal RNA", at positions 330 to 793 of the family's 1533-position model. The record is from RNAcentral.